GAUGAACGCUAGCGGCAGGCCUAACACAUGCAAGUCGAGGGGUAGAAGGAGCUUGCUCCUUUGAGACCGGCGCACGGGUGCGUAACGCGUAUGCAAUCUGCCUUGUACAGAGGGAUAGCCCAGAGAAAUUUGGAUUAAUACCUCAUAGUGUAAUGAUAUGGCAUCAUAUUAUUACUAAAGCUUCGGCGGUACAAGAUGAGCAUGCGUCCCAUUAGCUAGUUGGUAAGGUAACGGCUUACCAAGGCUACGAUGGGUAGGGGUCCUGAGAGGGAGAUCCCCCACACUGGUACUGAGACACGUACCAGACUCCUACGGGAGGCAGCAGUGAGGAAUAUUGGUCAAUGGUCGGAAGACUGAACCAGCCAUGCCGCGUGCAGGAUGACGGCCCUAUGGGUUGUAAACUGCUUUUGUACGGGAAGAAACACCGGUUCGUGAACCGGCUUGACGGUACCGUAAGAAUAAGGAUCGGCUAACUCCGUGCCAGCCGCCGCCGUAAGAC
Molecule: ribosomal RNA, 499 nt
Filed under: uncultured bacterium
Lineage: Bacteria
Description: bacterial SSU rRNA
Rfam family: Bacterial small subunit ribosomal RNA
Source: RNAcentral